This 26-nucleotide non-coding RNA is filed under the name Rattus norvegicus (Norway rat). The record is from RNAcentral. Lineage: Eukaryota; Metazoa; Chordata; Mammalia; Rodentia; Muridae.
UAGACAAUGAAUUCUGUCAGGUUUCU